RNAcentral lists this ribosomal RNA (234 nucleotides) under uncultured bacterium. Its description in RNAcentral is "partial 16S ribosomal RNA". It matches the Rfam family "Bacterial small subunit ribosomal RNA", at positions 96 to 334 of the family's 1533-position model. The record is from RNAcentral.
UGGCGGACGGGUGAGUAAUGUCUGGGAAACUGCCCGAUGGAGGGGGAUAACUACUGGAAACGGUAGCUAAUACCGCAUAACGUCGCAGACCAAAGAGGGGGACCUUCGGGCCUCUUGCCAUCGGAUGUGCCCAGAUGGGAUUAGCUAGUAGGUGGGGUAACGGCUCACCUAGGCGACGAUCCCUAGCUGGUCUGAGAGGAUGACCAACCACACUGGAACUGAGACACGGUCCAG